This 493-nucleotide ribosomal RNA is filed under the name uncultured bacterium. RNAcentral describes it as "bacterial SSU rRNA". It matches the Rfam family "Bacterial small subunit ribosomal RNA", at positions 8 to 518 of the family's 1533-position model. The record is from RNAcentral.
AGAGUUGAUCAUGGCUCAGGACGAACGCUGGCGGCGUGCCUAACACAUGCAAGUCGAGCGAGGAGAUCCUUCGGGAUGAUCCUAGCGGCGGACGGGUGAGUAACACGUGGGCAACCUGCCUCAUAGAGAGGAAUAGCCUUCCGAAAGGGAGAUUAAUACCUCAUAACAUUGCAGUUUCGCAUGGAACAGCAAUUAAAGGAGUAAUCCGCUAUGAGAUGGGGCCCGCGGCGCAUUAGCUAGUUGGUGAGGUAACGGCUCACCAAGGCGACGAUGCGUAGCCGACCUGAGAGGGUGAUCGGCCACAUUGGGACUGAGACACGGCCCAGACUCCUACGGGAGGCAGCAGUGGGGAAUAUUGCACAAUGGGGGAAACCCUGAUGCAAGCAACGCCGCGUGAGUGAUGACGGCCUUCGGGUUGUAAAGCUCUGUCUUCAGGGACGAUAAUGACGGUACCUGAGGAGGAAGCCACGGCUAACUACGUGCCAGCAGCCGC